UGGGGGAUAUUGCACAAUGGGCGAAAGCCUGAUGCAGCGACGCCGCGUGGGGGAUGAAGGCCUUCGGGUUGUAAACUUCUUUUGCUCUGAACAAGGCAUGCUAAUGGGUGUGUUGAGUGUAGGGGUUGAUUAGCGCCGGCUAACUACGUGCCAGCAGCCGCGGUAAUACGUAGGGCGCGAGCGUUGUCCGGAAUUAUUGUGCGUAAAGGGCUUGUAGGUGGCUGGUUGCGUCUGUCGUGAAAGCUCAUGGCUGAACUGUGGGUUUGCGGUGGGUACGAGCUGGCUUGAGUGGAGUAGGGGAGGCUGGAAGUCCUGGUGUAGCGGUGGAAUGCGCAGAUAUCAGGAGGAAUACCGGUGGCGGAGGCGGGUCUCUGGGCUGUUACUGACACUGAGGAGCGAAAGCAUGGGGGGCGAACAGG
RNAcentral lists this ribosomal RNA (419 nucleotides) under bacterium. Its description in RNAcentral is "partial 16S ribosomal RNA". It matches the Rfam family "Bacterial small subunit ribosomal RNA", at positions 355 to 776 of the family's 1533-position model. The record is from RNAcentral.